RNAcentral lists this ribosomal RNA (495 nucleotides) under uncultured bacterium. Its description in RNAcentral is "partial 16S ribosomal RNA". It matches the Rfam family "Bacterial small subunit ribosomal RNA", at positions 30 to 523 of the family's 1533-position model. The record is from RNAcentral.
UUGAACGCUGGCGGCAGGCCUAACACAUGCAAGUCGAGCGCGAAAGGUUUUCGGACUGAGUAAAGCGGCGGACGGGUGAGUAACGCGUGGGAAUCUGCCCAGUAGUGGGGGACAACAGUCGGAAACGACUGCUAAUACCGCAUACGCCCUGCGGGGGAAAGGGGGGGAUCUUCGGACCUCUCGCUAUUGGAUGAGCCCGCGUCGGAUUAGCUAGUUGGUAGGGUAAAGGCCUACCAAGGCUACGAUCCGUAACUGGUCUGAGAGGAUGAUCAGUCACACUGGAACUGAGACACGGUCCAGACUCCUACGGGAGGCAGCAGUGGGGAAUAUUGGACAAUGGGGCAACCCUGAUCCAGCCAUGCCGCGUGUGUGAAGAAGGCCUUAGGGUUGUAAAGCACUUUCAGUGGGGAGAAAGGUUUGUCACCUAAUACGUGAUGAAAUUGAUGUUACCCACAGAAGAAGCACCGGCUAACUCCGUGCCAGCCGCCGCUGUAA